AUGUCUUUGUCAUGUGACCAGUGGAUCCUGAAGAAAAGAAGGGUUUGUAGAACCAAACAAAGCAGCAGAGGAAAACUGUGGAUUGCCAUUAAAACUAUUACAAUGAAUGCUAAGAACUGCGCAUGUGAACCAGGAAAAACACCCAGUGCAUGUUCCAGGCUUCAUGUAUUUUUACAAAGGAACUUAUUAAAGUGCAAAAGUAAAGAGGCUCCUGUCCAGAACAGACAUGGCAAAAAGAGGAGAGCUGAAGAUUCAACCUUCAAACCACAAAAGAAAAAUGGAAAGAUGACCAAAACAGGCACAGGCAAAAAGAAAAUGACGAAAAAUGUUCUGGAAGGGAGCAGAAUUAUUUAUAACGAGAGCACUCGGAAAGAUAGGCCCUUUGUCCUGCAGAAUAGCAAUGAAGACCAAGACCCUAAUUUUGAUACCUUACUCGAAAAGACUGUUAGCCCAGGAGCCAGUGUGAAGACUGAACAUAGCUGGACUAAGAGGCAGGACUGUUUCAGUGAAACACUGGGAAAUAAGUCAUGUAAGGUCAGUGGAAACAGUAGCAUUCUUGACUUCCCUGACCCUUCGCGUCACUUCUCCUGGUUGCAGAAAGGUGGCUUUAAGUCAAUGUUGGCCAAAAUGGAAAACAGGCAGUCCACAGUGGUCAAAGAAAGUGAUUCUUCUGCAUCAGAAGGCAUUUUUUAAGAACAUGUUUGUAAACCAUUUGUAUUGAGAGGUAAUGGUGGCUUUACGUCGUAUAUACAUGUGUUAUGUUUAUUGUGCACGCACACUAUAUAUGCAAUAUAGUAACUUGAGGCAGAACAAAAUAAUUCUAGGGCUCAUCCUAACCUGUCUUGAGAUACAUGAAUGAAUUUUAUAAGAAUACUUUAGGCAAUGUAAAGAAGUUCAGCUUAUUGAUCCGUUUAAAAACAAAGGGAACAUUUUGUGUGAAAUGCUCUUCUAUUUUGGAUUACCUAGAAUUCAGGGGCUUCAUUUAUUUUUCCCGAUUUAACAUUUUAUUUUGAGCAGAAGUGUUAAGUUUUCCUUUCUAACCAAAAAUACUUUUGAUUAAUGCAUUCUGAAGUUAAAAUAAAAAAUGGCAGGCUUCUAAAACCAGAGUUUGAUGUAUUUAUACUGAUACUUUUAUGUUUAAUUAAACUGCUCAU
RNAcentral lists this long non-coding RNA (1154 nucleotides) under Lepisosteus oculatus (spotted gar). RNAcentral describes it as "lncRNA (ENSLOCG00000022263.1)". Lineage: Eukaryota; Metazoa; Chordata; Actinopteri; Semionotiformes; Lepisosteidae. The record is from RNAcentral.